AUGAACUUUGGUCUUCUCUGCAAUCCAUCUGGAGCAUUCACUGACAACAUCGACUUUGAAGUUGCACUGACCUGGCCAGCCCUGCCACUUACCAGGUUGGGCUGUGGCUUGCCUUUUCACUUCUUGUGUCCUGUUUAAGAAAUAUCUGCUAUCCCAAGCAUCUGGCAUCUUUCUUGACAUAUGUAGCAGUUGCUUUUUGACAGCUUGCUUCUUCAGUGAAUGAAUAAAUUAAUAAAGAGAAAUGUGAUGUUCAGUGAUCCAUUUUGCAGGCUCUUGAGUUUCUGCUUUCAAGUGACCCUCAGAAAUUCCUCCAUUCACUGCAGAGGUUCUGUUUCUCCUUGCUUUGUUCUGACUUUACGGCAGAACUAAGCUAAUGAGUUAGUUACUAUGGGUUAUCACUUGGAUUUGAAGAACCAUCAUUUCUAGGCAUUGCUGCUCAGAGUGGGUCUGCCCUCAGGGGAAGCUGUCUAACCAGAGCCUAACCCACUAGGGUUUUAUCAGAACCUAACUGACCUGAGGAAAAGAAAUACUCAACUCCAGCAAGCUCCAGCCUUCCAAAUGGAGGAGGAGAAAACCCAACUCCAGCCCACUUCAGCUAUCUUGUCCCACAUAAAGGGGAAGUGGAAGAAACCUGAGAAGCAGGCAUGAAGUUCACAGUCCAGAGGUACAGACACAUCAGAGUUCAGUAUCUGAUGAAUUAGAUGCAAAAACCUCAACAAAGUAUUAGCAAAUUGAAUUCAACAAUGUAUGAAAAUUAUUACAUGCCAUGACUAAUUGGAAUUUAUCUCAGGUAUACAAGCCACGCUGAACAUCUGAAAAUCAAUUCAUGUGAUCCAUCACAUUAGCAGACUCAAGAAAAAAAACCACAUUAUCAUAUCAGUAGAUGUAGAAAAAAAAAAUUAACAAAAUCCAGCACCCAUUCACAAUGAAAAUGCCCAGUAAAUUAGAAAUAGAAGGUAACUUCCUCAAAUUGAUAAGGAAUAUCUCUAAAAACCUACAACUAAAAUCAUACUUAAUGGUAGAAAACUAGAAGCCUUCCCAGUAAGAGUAAGAACAAGUCAAAGAUGUAUGCUCUCACCAAUGCUUUUCAACAUCAUAUUGGAAGUCCUAGCUAGUGCAAUAAGCAAAAAAAAAAAAAAA
RNAcentral lists this long non-coding RNA (1140 nucleotides) under Homo sapiens (human). RNAcentral describes it as "cancer susceptibility 19". The record is from RNAcentral. Lineage: Eukaryota; Metazoa; Chordata; Mammalia; Primates; Hominidae.